GAUGAAGAACGCAACGAAAUGCGAUACGUAAUGUGAAUUGCAGAAUUCAGUGAAUCAUCGAGUCUUUGAACGCACAUUGCGCCCCCUGGUAUUCCGGGGGGCAUGCCUGUCCGAGCGUCAUUGCUGCCCUCAAGCACGGCUUGUGUGUUGGGCCUCCGUCCUCCUCCCGGGGGACGGGCCCGAAAGGCAGCGGCGGCACCGCGUCCGGUCCUCGAGCGUAUGGGGCUUCGUCACCCGCUCUUGUAGGCCCGGCCGGCGCUUGCCGACACAUCAAUCUUUUUUCCAGGUUGACCUCGGAUCAGGUAGGGAUACCCGCUGAACUUAAGCAUAUCAAUAAGCGGAGGA
This 345-nucleotide unclassified non-coding RNA is filed under the name soil metagenome. RNAcentral's name for it is "partial contains 5.8S ribosomal RNA, internal transcribed spacer 2, and large subunit ribosomal RNA". The stretch from base 1 to 120 matches the Rfam family "5.8S ribosomal RNA", at positions 35 to 154 of the family's 154-position model. The record is from RNAcentral.